CCAAGUGUCAUUAGCUCAAUUGGU
Molecule: non-coding RNA, 24 nt
Filed under: Arabidopsis thaliana (thale cress)
Lineage: Eukaryota; Viridiplantae; Streptophyta; Magnoliopsida; Brassicales; Brassicaceae
Source: RNAcentral